This 263-nucleotide ribosomal RNA is filed under the name uncultured bacterium. RNAcentral's name for it is "partial 16S ribosomal RNA". The record is from RNAcentral.
CUGCUGCCUCCCGUAGGAGUCUGGGCCGUGUCUCAGUCCCAGUGUGGCCGUCCACCCUCUCAGGCCGGCUGCUGAUCGUCGCUUUGGUGGGCCGUUACCCCGCCAACUGGCUAAUCAGACGCGGGCCCAUCCUGUACCACCGGAGCUUUCAAAGGAUUACCAUGCGGUAUUCCCUAUUAUGCGGUAUUAGCACCUAUUUCUAAGUGUUAUCCCCCGGUACAGGGCAGGUUGCCCACGCGUUACUCACCCGUCCGCCACUAAGA